AACCUAGAUGUACCAUUACAUACUCAUCCGCCCGGGUACUACGAGCACAGCUUAAAACCCAAAGGACUUGGCGGUGUCUCAGACCCACCUAGAGGAGCCUGUUCUAGAACCGAUAACCCUCGUUAAACCUCACCACUUCUUGUUUUCCCCGCCUAUAUACCGCCGUCGUCAGCUUACCCUGUGAAGGUCUAAUAGUAAGCAAAAUGGGCCCGCCCAAAAACGUCAGGUCGAGGUGUAGCGUACGAAGUGGAAAGAAAUGGGCUACAUUUUCUAUAAAACAGAAUACUACGAAUGGCAUACUGAAAUAUAAUGCUUGAAGGUGGAUUUAGUAGUAAAAAGCAAACAGAGCGUACUUUUGAACCAGGCUCUGAGACGCGCACACACCGCCCGUCACUCUCCCCUGACACAAACAAACUAAACUAAAUUAUUAAUAAUUCACUCAUUAGCGCGGGGAGGCAAGUCGUAACAUGGUAAGUGUACCGGAAGGUGCACUUGGAAUAAU
RNAcentral lists this ribosomal RNA (502 nucleotides) under Pseudeutropius moolenburghae. RNAcentral describes it as "partial 12S ribosomal RNA". It matches the Rfam family "Bacterial small subunit ribosomal RNA", at positions 845 to 1533 of the family's 1533-position model. Lineage: Eukaryota; Metazoa; Chordata; Actinopteri; Siluriformes; Schilbidae. The record is from RNAcentral.